Molecule: ribosomal RNA, 484 nt
Filed under: uncultured bacterium
Lineage: Bacteria
Description: partial 16S ribosomal RNA
Rfam family: Bacterial small subunit ribosomal RNA
Source: RNAcentral
AUUGAACGCUGGCGGCAGGCCUAACACAUGCAAGUCGAGCGGAUGAAGGGAGCUUGCUCCUGGAUUCAGCGGCGGACGGGUGAGUAAUGCCUAGGAAUCUGCCUGGUAGUGGGGGAUAACGUCCGGAAACGGGCGCUAAUACCGCAUACGACCUGAGGGAGAAAGUGGGGGAUCUUCGGACCUCACGCUAUCAGAUGAGCCUAGGUCGGAUUAGCUAGUUGGUGGGGUAAAGGCCUACCAAGGCGACGAUCCGUAACUGGUCUGAGAGGAUGAUCAGUCACACUGGAACUGAGACACGGUCCAGACUCCUACGGGAGGUAGCAGUGGGGAAUAUUGGACAAUGGGCGAAAGCCUGAUCCAGCCAUGCCGCGUGUGUGAAGAAGGUCUUCGGAUUGUAAAGCACUUUAAGUUGGGAGGAAGGGCAGUAAGUUAAUACCUUGCUGUUUUGACGUUACCAACAGAAUAAGCACCGGCUAACUUCGUG